RNAcentral lists this long non-coding RNA (675 nucleotides) under Physcomitrium patens. RNAcentral's name for it is "long non-coding RNA (PPAT_LNC013733)". Lineage: Eukaryota; Viridiplantae; Streptophyta; Bryopsida; Funariales; Funariaceae. The record is from RNAcentral.
UUUUUUUUUUUUUUUUAACUGUCGCAAAACAUCAUCCAAUGCUUCUAUUGCCUGGUAAACAGCCUCAUUAUGCAUCACACGGGCACACGUUUCACGUGAGCCCGACUCUUAGGCGUGCUAACUACAACAUUACUCAAUUGACAGUACGUAACAAGUACAGAGGACCAUGAAAGUUUCUUGGAACUGACGCAGCGGCAAGCGCAACAACACGCAUCAACGCCUACUUCGCAUGGUCCUUACUCUCAUCAAUUUUGCCACGUCCUUCCUGAGGCUUCAGCGAUCAAUUGUGCAAGAAGGAGCGAUAGGCUGGCAAAAGCAACAAACAUCGUUGGUUUAAUCCGCUCCUCAUAGCAAGAAGAGGGAAAAAGAAAUAUCAAAUAUAAAGCAUUAAAACUAUACCGGAGAGUGAGAAGCGAAUGUGGGCCGAAUGGACGGAAUGACGUCGAAUGAGGGAGUAAUGGAAGGCUACAGUACUCCCAAACCGAUACUUCAUGGCUGCGAAGAAGAAGCAGAAGAGCAGCAGAACGUUCAACAAUGAGAAUGCUUCAAUUGAGCUAUUCCUACAGUGUUAGGAGAGAACGGGGAGAGAGAUGGAGACAGAGAGACACUGGAAAUAAAUGACGUCAGUUCAACUCUAAGCCCAUUCAUCCAAAACUCUAUUCAUCCAUCCGUCUC